RNAcentral lists this ribosomal RNA (497 nucleotides) under uncultured bacterium. RNAcentral describes it as "partial 16S ribosomal RNA". It matches the Rfam family "Bacterial small subunit ribosomal RNA", at positions 28 to 507 of the family's 1533-position model. The record is from RNAcentral.
GACGAACGCUGGCGGCGUGCCUAAUACAUGCAAGUAGAACGCUGAAGAGAGGAGCUUACUCUUCUUGGAUGAGUUGCGAACGGGUGAGUAACGCGUAGGUAACCUGCCUUGUAGCGGGGGAUAACUAUUGGAAACGAUAGCUAAUACCGCAUAACAAUGGAUGACACAUGUCAUUUAUUUGAAAGGGGCAAUUGCUCCACUACAAGAUGGACCUGCGUUGUAUUAGCUAGUAGGUGAGGUAAUGGCUCACCUAGGCGACGAUACAUAGCCGACCUGAGAGGGUGAUCGGCCACACUGGGACUGAGACACGGCCCAGACUCCUACGGGAGGCAGCAGUAGGGAAUCUUCGGCAAUGGGGGCAACCCUGACCGAGCAACGCCGCGUGAGUGAAGAAGGUUUUCGGAUCGUAAAGCUCUGUUGUAAGUCAAGAACGGAUGUGAGAGUGGAAAGUUCACACUGUGACGGUAGCUGACCAGAAAGGGACGGCUAACUACGUG